CGGCGGACGGGUGAGUAACACGUAGGCAACCUACCCUUGAGAUUGGGAUAACUACCGGAAACGGUAGCUAAUACCGGAUACGAUUGUUCUACAUAAGUAGAACUAUUAAAAGGCGGAUUUAUCUGCCACUCAUGGAUGGGCCUGCGGUGCAUUAGCUAGUUGGUGAGAUAGUAGCUCACCAAGGCCACGAUGCAUAGCCGACCUGAGAGGGUGAUCGGCCACCCUGGGACUGAGACACGGCCCAGACUCCUACGGGAGGCAGCAGUAGGGAAUCUUCCGCAAUGGACGAAAGUCUGACGGAGCAACGCCGCGUGAGUGAUGAAGGGUUUCGGCUCGUAAAACUCUGUUGUUAAGGAAGAACACUUGAGGUAGUAACUGGCCUUGAGAUGACGGUACUUAACCAGAAAGCCACGGCUAACUACGUGCCAGCAGCCGCGGUAAUACGUAGGUGGCAAGCGUUAUCCGGAAUUAUUGGGCGUAAA
Molecule: ribosomal RNA, 482 nt
Filed under: uncultured bacterium
Lineage: Bacteria
Description: bacterial SSU rRNA
Rfam family: Bacterial small subunit ribosomal RNA
Source: RNAcentral